Molecule: ribosomal RNA, 2890 nt
Filed under: Clostridioides difficile
Lineage: Bacteria; Bacillati; Bacillota; Clostridia; Peptostreptococcales; Peptostreptococcaceae
Description: 23S ribosomal RNA
Rfam family: Bacterial large subunit ribosomal RNA
Source: RNAcentral
GGUUAAGCUGAUAAGAGCACAGGGUGGAUGCCUUGGCACUAAGAGCCGAUGAAAGACGUGAUAAGCUGCGAAAAGCUUCGGGGAGGAGCAAAUAUCCAUCGAUCCGGAGAUAUCUGAAUGGGGGAACCCGGCUGAGAAGACCUCAGUCACUGCAUGCUGAAUCCAUAGGCAUGCAGAGGGAACCCGGCGAACUGAAACAUCUAAGUAGCCGGAGGAAGAGAAAGAAACAUCGAUUCCGGGAGUAGCGGCGAGCGAAACCGGAAGAGCCCAAACCAGCGUGCGAGCAUGCUGGGGUUAAGGACUGCAAACGUGAACCGAAUUGCUAGCCAAAGUGGCUGGGAAGCCAAACCAGAGAGGGUGAAAGUCCCGUAGGCGAAAGCAAUAGGAAGCAGCAGGAUCCAGAGUACCACGAGACACGAGAAACCUUGUGGGAAGUAGGAGGGACCACCCUCCAAGGCUAAAUACUCCUUAGUGACCGAUAGAGGAAAGUACUGUGAAGGAAAGGUGAAAAGGACCCCGGGAGGGGAGUGAAAGAGAACCUGAAACCCUGUGUUUACAAGCUGUGGAAGCGCGUUAAGGCGCGACCGCGUACUUUUUGUAGAACGGUCCGGCGAGUUGUCUUUACUGGCAAGGUUAAGCGCUAAAGGCGCGGAGCCGAAGGGAAACCAAGUCUUAAAAGGGCGAAGAGUCAGUGGAGGCAGACCCGAAACCGGGUGACCUAUCCAUGUCCAGGUUGAAGCGGAAGUAAAAUUCCGUGGAGGACCGGAUCCACAUCCGUUGAAAAGGGUGGGAAUGAGGUGUGGAUAGGGGAGAAAUUCCAAUCGAACCCGGAGAUAGCUGGUUCUCCUCGAAAUAGCUUUAGGGCUAGCCUCGUAUUAGUUUAGCGGAGGUAGAGCACUGAAUUCCUGCGGGGGCGUCAAAGCUUACCAAGGGAUAUCAAACUGCGAAUGCCGCGUAAAUGAUGUACGGGAGUCAGACUGGACGAGAUAAGUUGGGCAGUCGAAAGGGAAAGAGCCCAGACCUACAGCUAAGGUCCCAAAGUGUGUGUUAAGUGGAAAAGGAUGUGGGAUUUCAAAGACAACUAGGAUGUUGGCUCAGAAGCAGCCACACAUUCAAAGAGUGCGUAAUAGCUCACUAGUCGAGAGGUCCUGCGCCGAAAAUGUCCGGGGCUGAAACACAACACCGAAGCUUAGGAAUCAGAAAUGAUUGGUAGAGGAGCAUUCUUAAAGAGAGGAAGCAGUACCGGCAAGGAGCUGUGGAUUUUUAAGAAGAGAGAAUGCCGGAAUGAGUAGCGAGAUGGAGGUGGGAAUCCUCCAGGCCGAAUAUCCAAGGUUUCCAGAGUAAAGCUGAUCUACUCUGGGUAAGUCGGGGCCUAAGGCGAGGCUGAAAAGCGUAGUCGAUGGACAACAGGUUGAAAUUCCUGUACCAUGCAGCAUCAGAACUGUGGGGACGCAGAAGGAUAGCACAACCCGGGAAUGGAAAGACCGGGGCAAGCGAGGUAGGGGUAUGGAAGGCAAACCCGCCAUACAACCCGAAGGCGUGAAGCGUAGCGAAAAAGGAGUAGCAAAGUGUGUGAAUCCAGCUGCCAAGAAAAGCCGCUAUUGUGUGCAGCAUGCCCGUACCGUAAACCGACACAGGUGGAAGAGGAGAGAAUCCUAAGGCCGGCGGGAGAAGCAUUGUUAAGGAACUCGGCAAAAUGACCCCGUAACUUCGGGAGAAGGGGUGCCUGGGGAACCAGGCCGCAGAGAAUAGGCUCAAGCAACUGUUUAGCAAAAACACAGGUCUAUGCAAAACCGAAAGGUGAGGUAUAUGGGCUGACGCCUGCCCGGUGCUGGAAGGUUAAGAGGAGAGGUAAGCCAUAAGGCGAAGCUUUGAAUUUAAGCCCCAGUAAACGGCGGCCGUAACUAUAACGGUCCUAAGGUAGCGAAAUUCCUUGUCGGGUAAGUUCCGACCCGCACGAAAGGCGUAAUGAUUUGAGCGCUGUCUCAACAAUGCACCCGGUGAAAUUGAAAUACCAGUGAAGAUGCUGGUUACCUGCGCCAGGACGGAAAGACCCCAUGGAGCUUUACUCCAGUUUGAUACUGGGAUUCGGUGCUGCAUGUACAGGAUAGGUGGGAGGCAAGGAAGCAUGGACGCCAGUCUAUGUGGAGCCGGUGUUGGGAUACCACCCUUGCGGCAUUGGGUUUCUAACCUGCAUCCAUGAACUGGAUGGGGGACAAUGUCAGGCGGGGAGUUUGACUGGGGCGGUCGCCUCCGAAAGGGUAUCGGAGGCGCUCAAAGGUUCCCUCAUAAUGGUUGGAAACCAUUAGAAGAGUGCAAAGGCAGAAGGGAGCUUGACUGCGAGAGCGACGGUUCGAGCAGGUACGAAAGUAGGACUUAGUGAUCCGGUGGUAUGAAAGUGGGAUUGCCAUCGCUCAACGGAUAAAAGCUACCCUGGGGAUAACAGGCUUAUCACUCCCAAGAGUUCACAUCGACGGAGUGGUUUGGCACCUCGAUGUCGGCUCAUCGCAUCCUGGGGCUGUAGCAGGUCCCAAGGGUUGGGCUGUUCGCCCAUUAAAGCGGUACGCGAGCUGGGUUCAGAACGUCGUGAGACAGUUCGGUCCCUAUCCGGCGCGGGCGUAGGAUAUUUGAGAGGAGCUGUCCUUAGUACGAGAGGACCGGGAUGGACGGACCGCUGGUGUAUCUGUUAGGCGCCAAGCCUAUGGCAGAGUAGCCAAGUCUGGAAGGGAUAAACGCUGAAGGCAUCUAAGCGUGAAGCCCCCCUCAAGAUGAGAUAUCCCAAACCGAAAGGAAGUAAGACCCCUUGAAGACGACAAGGUAGAUAGGUUAGAGGUGGAAGUGCAGCAAUGCAUGGAGCUGACUAAUACUAAUCGGUCGAGGGCUUAUCCAG